UCAUUUAUAGUAUUCAUGUACGGUUGCCUUCCAAGUAAACAGUCUAUUAAAAAAUAGUAGAUGAA
This 65-nucleotide transfer RNA is filed under the name Nucula nucleus. RNAcentral describes it as "tRNA-Gly". The record is from RNAcentral. Lineage: Eukaryota; Metazoa; Mollusca; Bivalvia; Nuculida; Nuculidae.